UUUCCGUAGGUGAACCUGCGGAAGGAUCAUUAUUGUAUAACCGAGGUGCGAGGGCUGUCGCUGACCCGAAAGGUCGUGCACGCCCGAGUGCCCUCACACACAUUCAUCUCACCCCCAUGUGCACCACCGCGUGGGUCCCCCUUUGGCUUGUUCGGAGGGGGGCUUACGUUUUCACACAAACUUUGUAUGCAGUGUAGAAUGUAUUUUUUGUUUUUGCGAUCACGCAAUCAAUACAACUUUCAACAACGGAUCUCUUGGCUCUC
Molecule: unclassified non-coding RNA, 263 nt
Filed under: plant metagenome
Description: partial contains small subunit ribosomal RNA, internal transcribed spacer 1, and 5.8S ribosomal RNA
Source: RNAcentral